GAUGAACGCUGGCGGCGUGCCUAAUACAUGCAAGUCGAGCGAACGGACGAGAAGCUUGCUUCUCUGAUGUUAGCGGCGGACGGGUGAGUAACACGUGGAUAACCUACCUAUAAGACUGGGAUAACUUCGGGAAACCGGAGCUAAUACCGGAUAAUAUUUUGAACCGCAUGGUUCAAAAGUGAAAGACGGUCUUGCUGUCACUUAUAGAUGGAUCCGCGCUGCAUUAGCUAGUUGGUAAGGUAACGGCUUACCAAGGCAACGAUGCAUAGCCGACCUGAGAGGGUGAUCGGCCACACGGGAACUGAGACACGGUCCAGACUCCUACGGGAGGCAGCAGUAGGGAAUCUGCCGCAAUGGGCGAAAGCCUGACGGAGCAACGCCGCGUGAGUGAUGAAGGUCUUCGGAUCGUAAAACUCUGUUAUUAGGGAAGAACAUAUGUGUAAGUAACUGUGCACAUCUUGACGGUACCUAAUCAGAAAGCCACGGCUAACUACGUG
This 497-nucleotide ribosomal RNA is filed under the name uncultured bacterium. RNAcentral describes it as "partial 16S ribosomal RNA". It matches the Rfam family "Bacterial small subunit ribosomal RNA", at positions 28 to 507 of the family's 1533-position model. The record is from RNAcentral.